GCCGGUGUAGCAUAGUUGGUUGGUGCAGUCCAUUGGUAAUGGACAGGUCGGGAGUUCAAAUCUUCCCACCGGCU
This 74-nucleotide transfer RNA is filed under the name Candidatus Iainarchaeum sp. RNAcentral describes it as "tRNA-Thr". It matches the Rfam family "tRNA". From Rfam's summary of the family: Transfer RNA (tRNA) molecules are approximately 80 nucleotides in length. Their secondary structure includes four short double-helical elements and three loops (D, anti-codon, and T loops). Further hydrogen bonds mediate the characteristic L-shaped molecular structure. tRNAs have two regions of fundamental functional importance: the anti-codon, which is responsible for specific mRNA codon recognition, and the 3' end, to which the tRNAs corresponding amino acid is attached (by aminoacyl-tRNA synthetases). tRNAs cope with the degeneracy of the genetic code in two manners: having more than one tRNA (with a specific anti-codon) for a particular amino acid; and 'wobble' base-pairing, i.e. permitting non-standard base-pairing at the 3rd anti-codon position. Lineage: Archaea; Nanobdellati; Candidatus Iainarchaeota; Candidatus Iainarchaeia; Candidatus Iainarchaeales; Candidatus Iainarchaeaceae. The record is from RNAcentral.